Molecule: long non-coding RNA, 1562 nt
Organism: Anser brachyrhynchus (Pink-footed goose)
Lineage: Eukaryota; Metazoa; Chordata; Aves; Anseriformes; Anatidae
Source: Ensembl
UUUGGCUUAUAUUUUAAUAAAUGAGUAACAGCUGAGCAGAGAGGCCAAAAGAAGAGAGUCCCCCCCCUAUCCUGAGCUAUGCUCGAGGCAGGGCCUGUGCUGUCUGUGCGUCAGGUACUGCGGUGGGGGAGUUAGCACCGCACGCUGAAGGUUAACCAUGAAUUAGACAGCUACACAGAGAGUGAGAAGCAAUCGAGAGUGAGUGGCUAAUGCAGGUGUGAAGGCUGUUGGUUUUUUUCUUUUUAAUGUUUAAAUUUUCUUUUGAAUUCCCUUCAGGCAGGAAGAGAAGGAAAAAAGCCAGGCACUGUGGUGGAGCCUUAGGGGAGCGGGAGGCCUGGGGUGAUCAAUCAGCAGCAUUUCAGUGAGAUUAAGAGGGGACCUGGGGUAAUAUAUGAGGCAAUGUGGAAAGAGGCAUUUUAUUACAGUCAGCUCUGGAAGGAUUCAGUUCCAGAUGGCUGAAGUGGGGGUAGAUCAGGAACCUCUGUCAGAAGGGGCCCACCAUCCAAAAACGUGCAGCAUAGCAGCAGCAGCUGAAGGUUUCCUCCGCUCCAAAAAAAAAAAAAAAAAUCUCUCCUGGAGAGAGCUGUCUCCAUAGCUGGUUAAAUCAGUUUGCGCUUGUGGGAAAUGCCCUCUUUGUGAGGACAGAUGGCGAUGAGCGGGGCCAUUUUGGCACUUCCCCCCCCAUUCAGAAAAUGCGUCUUGUUCUUGUGGAACAAUUCUAGGAAGGCUUUGGGACCGGUUUGCCGCUCAAAAGCAGAUGUGUGGUGUGGCUCUGGAUGAUGGUGUGUUGUCAUAGCACUGGUGGGAAGAUUGGCCUCCACCAUUUCCUUCACCAUAGCUGCUCCACAGGCUGACACCUCCAGGGCUGGGAGGCAGAGCACCGAGCCUACACCCUGAUAUGGGGAGCCACCUCCCGAGGGAACAGCCUGAAGCUGCUAAAAUUCUUUCUGGGAGGAGGUCUCAUCUGGAGAGUGAAAACAGCUUGCUACUUGGAGUGCUGUCUGCAAAAGAACAAAGCUCUAAGGACCGUUCCCUACGCUGUGCCCCACAAGAGAGAUUAUUGAGCCAAGAUGUUGGCCUCAGGAAGCGUCCUACUAUGCUAGAGAGUUUCCAUGUGAAACGGCUUUUUUCCUAGGAUUUGUGUGCCCUAGCACCUGGUCAUCUCGGUGCUGGUCUUUUGGGGAAGAUGGGCAGGGAGGCAAGUGCCUGGGCUAUUUGCUUCUCCUAUUUGUAAGGGGAAUUGCAUUAUUUCAUCUCACAGGGAUGCUGGAGUACCUUUCUGAUAGUCUUUACUAGCUGGUGCUGAGCAUUUUAAUCAGGUGCGUGUCAGUCCUGUAUUUGUGUUUUGCACAUGUCACAGGUGACAUGAAAGGAAGAAAGGUUCAUGAAAGAGCCAAUUUUCCUGCACGGCUUUCAUGGAAAAUGAGUUCUGAUGCACAGAAUUGUGUUUUGUAAGGCAGUUGAAUGAAAAAAUUACAGAUACUUAGAAAAGUGAGAUGACAUCAUACGAUCUGUACAUUUUGUGAAAAUAAAUCAGGGCUACUAUUAUUAAAAUAUAUGCA